GUGACAUUGGUCAAUCACAAUGUCACAAUGCUUGUGAAAGAGAGAGAGACACAAGCAUUGUGACAUUGUGAUUGACCAAUGUCAC
Medicago truncatula (barrel medic) is the source of this 85-nucleotide microRNA precursor. It matches the Rfam family "MIR2600 microRNA precursor family". The record is from Rfam. Lineage: Eukaryota; Viridiplantae; Streptophyta; Magnoliopsida; Fabales; Fabaceae.